Molecule: long non-coding RNA, 2538 nt
Organism: Cygnus olor (mute swan)
Lineage: Eukaryota; Metazoa; Chordata; Aves; Anseriformes; Anatidae
Exons: 6
Source: RefSeq, a predicted model, not a curated record
UGGAGAGGAGCCCACGCAGGAGCAGGGGUCUGGGGGGAGCUGCCACCUGUGGGGGACCUGUGCUGGCGCAGUUUGCUCCUGUGGGUUGGACCCCAUGGUAUGCAGCCAUGUUGGAGCAGUUCUUGAAGAACUGCAGCCUGUGGGCAGCCCUCUCCAUCAUAUUUUCGCCUCCCUUUCCUUUGAGGUGGGGGAGUGAGUGAGCACUUGUGAAGUUUAGCUGCCCAGCAGGGUAAAACCACCACAGGCUGUAACCUUUAGCUCCACCUUGUUAUUUAUGAAGUCUUUCAAAUACAAUAUUCCCAGCAUGAAUGAUCUCCAUUCCUUUCCUGCCUAUGGAAGAAAAAUAUGUCACUGCUUGCCUUGCCACAUACAUUUGGAUCUUGUAUUGAACAUUCCAGAAGCUCUCUGGGAGGACCUUACUCUCAGAUCUUACUCUGGUUGGUGGUGUUGGCGCUGUGUUCUUCGAGUCAGCUACCUCCCUAUAAUAACAGCAGAACAAACAGCAAGUCUACUGCUUGCAGUAGCUAUGGUUUUCCAGCUUCCCCAGGGAUCUGAGAUCUGCUCUGUCUCUCAUCAGGGGCUGUGUUACAAUCUGCAGCAAUGAAACUAGUGCUGUGAAACUAAGUGUAGAUGUAGUGGACAUCUAGAUAUGAAAGGACAAAAUCAGACUCUGCCUCUCUCAGAAGAUCUAAAGUACAGCCUCUACAUCUUAACACUGUUUGGUCAAUGUCUCCAAGCAACUUCAAAAAGUGGCAAGGCACAUCCAGGCUGAUGAUGCUGAAAGAAUUGGUGAAUGCACAAUGAAGUUGGGCAUACUGAUGCACAUCAGCAUGUAACCUCAUGGUGGACUAUGGUGCUAAACCAGACAUUAUAGCCCUGAGACAUUAUAUUUGCAUGGAAUGGAAGAUGUAUAAAUAAAAGAUCCAUUGCAUCAACUCUAACAUUUAAUUUGUUGCUAUUUUUAUCUUAUUGAGCAUUCUGAGAUGGAUUUGGAACAUACAAUCAGUUUAAAACACUUUAUACUUCAGCUGAUUAGGAUAUGUUUCAUUGUCUCGAUUGCAAGUCAAUCUAUGAAAGUAUUCUUUAGUAUUUUUCUUAAAUUUACUCUUAUUGAAUUUUUUUCUUGGAUGCUCCCUGAAAAGGCAUUAAAUUCAUAUUUAAAUCUUUCUAAAUUACCUGAUGGAAAACUGAACCAUUGUACAAACCAUUUAUGUAACAUAUUUUAAUCACUGUAGCUUUCUUGUAUCAAACAAUGUAAAAACUUAGUGACUUGCUAGAGAUCAGGUUCAGUUCACUGUGUCUCAAAAGUAUGAAUAUGAGAGUGGAUAGUAUCAAAACCAGCACACUGUCUUUGGACUGACAGAGAACUUUGCUUUGAUUUAGGUUUUAAACAGUAUUAUUUUCCAGAAAACACACAUCAGUCCACUUUUCUGACAAGUUUUACUAUUAGAAUAUUUGGUUGUUGUUUUAUUUUAGCUCUUGGGAGAGAGAGGAAGUGGACUGCAUGAAUUUGAAAUAAAACAGAAUAUGUGCUUGUGAAACUUACACUUUCAAAAGCAAUGAGAUAUAUAAAUAUUUGUUAUGUUAAUCUACAAAAUUACUUUUAUUAUUUGACCCAUAUGGCUAUGUGAAUACCAGUGUAUAUAAUUCAAUCAUAUAUCCCAGUAUUAGAAAAAAUGCAGCCUUAGAACUAAACACAUUUUUCUCCUGUGUCAGAGGUGAAUCAUUUCCUUAUGUCUGAGAUAUCAGGAUAUGAAGGAAGAUUACUUUCACAGACAAACAAGAGACAGCUGCCCUUGAUAAUGUAAGAUUUAUUCUUAACAUUCUUUUCAAAGGAUCCAUUUCUGUCCAAAUUUUCAUAAUGCAACAGGACUUUUCAAAACAUUGUGUGAAUAAGAGAGACAAGGUGAGGCAAGGCAAGGCAAGAAUAUCAUUUUUCUGCUCUCACUUUUGAUGAACAGAAAUUCGCUCAUCACAAAUGGGAUUCAGAUAUAGCCAACUGUAAUACAGAAUUUUGAAAGGUGACAUCAACCUUUCCAGUUUAGGGCCAGAAAAUUUGUCUGUUAGAUAAGUGCUAAAGGUACAUGUAUACACUAGUUCAAUUUUGCAAGAGUGUGAUUGGAGCGUGUUGGCUGAUAAACAGUCUGCAGGAGAUUUGGUCAAGUGCACGCAAGAAAUCUAUGGAAGAAUUAUUUAUACGGAUGUAUUUCCCCUCUAAUGUGGAAUAUAUGGUGGAAAUUCAAAUUCUCUAAGUCACACAUAAUAAAAUUGAAGUUUUACAUAUUUUGUCUUGUUUUUCAAAAAUAUUGAAUGAGCUGUAGAUUUACAUGUAUAGAUAUACACGAAUCCUUACAUCUCAACAUUGCGUUAUGAUGAAUUCAAUCCAGAAUCAGAUCUGAUUGGCUUAUGUCUCACGUAAACUUUUAUAUGAGUAAUGAAAAAAUGAAAAAUUUGUAAUAUCCUUCUAAUAGAAAGUAGGGGAUGGACAAUCACAAGAUGCCUAUGAAUUAAUUUAUGUGCUAACUACAUAUGAUUGGC